This 293-nucleotide ribosomal RNA is filed under the name uncultured eukaryote. RNAcentral describes it as "partial 18S ribosomal RNA". It matches the Rfam family "Eukaryotic small subunit ribosomal RNA", at positions 6 to 294 of the family's 1831-position model. The record is from RNAcentral.
GGUUGAUCCUGCCAGUAGUCAUAUGCUUGUCUCAAAGAUUAAGCCAUGCAUGUCUAAGUAUAAACAACUUUAUACUGUGAAACUGCGAAUGGCUCAUUAAAUCAGUUAUAGUUUAUUUGAUAGUACCUUACUACUCGGAUAACCGUAGUAAUUCUAGAGCUAAUACGUGCGAAAAGACCCGACUUUUUGGAAGGGUUGCAUUUAUUAGAUACAAAACCAAUAAGGGGCAACCCUUUUACCAUGGUGAUUCAUAAUAACUUUUGCGGAUCGCAUGGCCUUGUGCCGGCGACGAA